This 491-nucleotide ribosomal RNA is filed under the name uncultured bacterium. RNAcentral's name for it is "partial 16S ribosomal RNA". It matches the Rfam family "Bacterial small subunit ribosomal RNA", at positions 29 to 507 of the family's 1533-position model. The record is from RNAcentral.
AGUGAACGCUGGCGGUAGGCCUAACACAUGCAAGUCGAACGGCAGCACAGUGAGAGCUUGCUCUUACGGGUGCGCGUGGCGGACGGGUGCGGAAUACAUCGGAAUCUACUUUUUUGUGGGGGAUAACGUAGGGAAACUCACGCUAAUACCGCAUACGACCUCUGGGUGAAGGCAGGGGAACUUCGGACCUUGCGCGAGAGAAUGAGCCGAUGUCGGAUUAGCUAGUUGGCGGGGUAAAGGCCCACCAAGUCGACGGUCCGUAGCUGGUCUGAGAGGAUGAUCAGCCACAUUGGAACUGAGCCACGGACCAGACUCCUAAGGGAGGCAGCAGUGGGGAAUAUUGGACAAUGGGCGCAAGCCUGAUCCAACCAUACCGCGUCGGUGAAGAAGGCCCUCGGGUUGUAAAGCCCUUUUGUUGGGAAAAAAAAGCAGCCGGUUAAUACCCCGCUGUUCUGACGGUACCCAAAGAAUAAGCACCGGCUAACUUCGUG